This 253-nucleotide ribosomal RNA is filed under the name uncultured bacterium. RNAcentral describes it as "partial 16S ribosomal RNA". It matches the Rfam family "Bacterial small subunit ribosomal RNA", at positions 524 to 776 of the family's 1533-position model. The record is from RNAcentral.
UACGUAGGGUGCGAGCGUUAAUCGGAAUUACUGGGCGUAAAGCGUGCGCAGGCGGUUCGUGAUGUCUGGUGUGAAAGCCCCGGGCUCAACCUGGGAAUUGCAUUGGAAACUAGCGGGCUGGAGUGUGGCAGAGGGGGGUGGAAUUCCGGGUGUAGCGGUGGAAUGCGUAGAGAUCCGGAAGAACACCGGUGGCGAAGGCGGUCUGCUGGGCAGUUGCUGACACUGAGGCGCGACAGCGUGGGGAGCAAACAGG